AGAGUUUGAUCCUGGCUCAGGACGAACGCUGGCGGCGUGCCUAAUACAUGCAAGUCGAGCGGACAGAAGGGAGCUUGCUCCCGGAUGUUAGCGGCGGACGGGUGAGUAACACGUGGGUAACCUGCCUGUAAGACUGGGAUAACUCCGGGAAACCGGAGCUAAUACCGGAUAGUUCCUUGAACCGCAUGGUUCAAGGAUGAAAGACGGUUUCGGCUGUCACUUACAGAUGGACCCGCGGCGCAUUAGCUAGUUGGUGGGGUAAUGGCUCACCAAGGCGACGAUGCGUAGCCGACCUGAGAGGGUGAUCGGCCACACUGGGACUGAGACACGGCCCAGACUCCUACGGGAGGCAGCAGUAGGGAAUCUUCCGCAAUGGACGAAAGUCUGACGGAGCAACGCCGCGUGAGUGAUGAAGGUUUUCGGAUCGUAAAGCUCUGUUGUUAGGGAAGAACAAGUGCGAGAGUAACUGCUCGCACCUUGACGGUACCUAACCAGAAAGCCACGGCUAACUACGUGCCAGCAGCCGCGGUAAUACGUAGGUGGCAAGCGUUGUCCGGAAUUAUUGGGCGUAAAGGGCUCGCAGGCGGUUUCUUAAGUCUGAUGUGAAAGCCCCCGGCUCAACCGGGGAGGGUCAUUGGAAACUGGGAAACUUGAGUGCAGAAGAGGAGAGUGGAAUUCCACGUGUAGCGGUGAAAUGCGUAGAGAUGUGGAGGAACACCAGUGGCGAAGGCGACUCUCUGGUCUGUAACUGACGCUGAGGAGCGAAAGCGUGGGGAGCGAACAGGAUUAGAUACCCUGGUAGUCCACGCCGUAAACGAUGAGUGCUAAGUGUUAGGGGGUUUCCGCCCCUUAGUGCUGCAGCUAACGCAUUAAGCACUCCGCCUGGGGAGUACGGUCGCAAGACUGAAACUCAAAGGAAUUGACGGGGGCCCGCACAAGCGGUGGAGCAUGUGGUUUAAUUCGAAGCAACGCGAAGAACCUUACCAGGUCUUGACAUCCUCUGACAACCCUAGAGAUAGGGCUUUCCCUUCGGGGACAGAGUGACAGGUGGUGCAUGGUUGUCGUCAGCUCGUGUCGUGAGAUGUUGAGUUAAGUCCCGCAACGAGCGCAACCCUUGAUCUUAGUUGCCAGCAUUUAGUUGGGCACUCUAAGGUGACUGCCGGUGACAAACCGGAGGAAGGUGGGGAUGACGUCAAAUCAUCAUGCCCCUUAUGACCUGGGCUACACACGUGCUACAAUGGACAGAACAAAGGGCUGCAAGACCGCAAGGUUUAGCCAAUCCCAUAAAUCUGUUCUCAGUUCGGAUCGCAGUCUGCAACUCGACUGCGUGAAGCUGGAAUCGCUAGUAAUCGCGGAUCAGCAUGCCGCGGUGAAUACGUUCCCGGGCCUUGUACACACCGCCCGUCACACCACGAGAGUUUGCAACACCCGAAGUCGGUGAGGUAACCUUUAUGGAGCCAGCCGCCGAAGGUGGGGCAGAUGAUUGGGGUGAAGUCGUAACAAGGUAGCCGU
This 1512-nucleotide ribosomal RNA is filed under the name Bacillus pumilus. RNAcentral's name for it is "bacterial SSU rRNA". It matches the Rfam family "Bacterial small subunit ribosomal RNA". The record is from RNAcentral. Lineage: Bacteria; Bacillati; Bacillota; Bacilli; Caryophanales; Bacillaceae.